GGGGAGGAGGAAGAAGAGGGGAGGGAGGAGCUUCGGGCCGAGACCACGUGGCCUGCACCUCCUCGCCGUGAUCCUCCGCAUGGCUUCGGUCUCCUCCGCGGCCUUGUCGAGCCGCGGGGCCCGGCCCCUGCUGCAGUUCUUGCGGCUGGUGGGGCGGCUCAAGAGAGUCCCACGGACUGGCUGGGUAUACAGAAAUGUGGAGAAGCCAGAGAGCGUAUCCGAUCACAUGUACCGGAUGGCAGUUAUGGCCAUGGUGACUCAAGAUGACCAUCUUAAUAAAGACCGAUGUAUCCGCCUAGCCCUGGUUCACGAUAUGGCAGAGUGCAUCGUUGGGGACAUAGCACCAGCAGAUAACAUCCCUAAAGAAGAAAAACAUAGGCGAGAAGAGGAAGCCAUGAAGCAGAUAACCCAGCUCCUGCCAGAGGACCUCAGAAAGGAGCUCUUCGAACUUUGGGAAGAGUAUGAGACCCAAGCCAGCGCAGAAGCUAAAUUCGUGAAGCAGCUGGACCAGUGUGAGAUGAUUCUUCAGGCAUCUGAAUACGAAGAUCUGGAGAACAAACCCGGGAGACUGCAAGACUUCUACGAUUCCACAGCAGGCAAGAGUGGCCUCCAGUGCUGUUAGUGAUGGCAACCUGGAAGGACAGAGAGUGGUGUGAUCUACAGGAUGACCUCUGCCCUGUGGGGCUGAGGACAGCUUGGAAGCAGCAGCCAGGAGCCUAGGAGGACAGGCCCAGGUCCAUGGAAAGGAAAAUUCACUCACCCUGAGAUUGUCCAACUUGUUUCUGAACUUGAGGCAGAAAGAAACGCGAACAUAGCUGCAGCUGACAGUGAGCUGCCCCCCUAAGAUGCUCUCCACAUGGCCGCCCUCCUGAGACAGACUUGUAGUUUUCCAUUUCAUGGGAUUGUGUUUUGCCAGUGUUGCUGUGUUGAUUUCCUCCAUCGCAAGCCCACAUAUUUUCAGUUGUCUGGACAUCAGCAAGAAAUGUGAUGUGAUUUGGGCACUCAAAGUUGCCUCAGAAGAGAAAGUGGCCAUGAAAACACGCUGCCUGCCUGAAGACUGGAUGGACAGUGCUGUUUUAAUGGACUAACUAAAUAAAUAAUAAACACCUAAAACUUUGCAGUA
Non-coding RNA from Oryctolagus cuniculus (rabbit), 1123 nucleotides. Lineage: Eukaryota; Metazoa; Chordata; Mammalia; Lagomorpha; Leporidae. The record is from RefSeq and is a predicted model, not a curated record.